Molecule: ribosomal RNA, 2502 nt
Filed under: Staphylococcus aureus
Lineage: Bacteria; Bacillati; Bacillota; Bacilli; Caryophanales; Staphylococcaceae
Description: partial 23S ribosomal RNA
Rfam family: Bacterial large subunit ribosomal RNA
Source: RNAcentral
CUUGAGUGGAUCCUGAGUACGACGGAGCACGUGAAAUUCCGUCGGAAUCUGGGAGGACCAUCUCCUAAGGCUAAAUACUCUCUAGUGACCGAUAGUGAACCAGUACCGUGAGGGAAAGGUGAAAAGCACCCCGGAAGGGGAGUGAAAUAGAACCUGAAACCGUGUGCUUACAAGUAGUCAGAGCCCGUUAAUGGGUGAUGGCGUGCCUUUUGUAGAAUGAACCGGCGAGUUACGAUUUGAUGCAAGGUUAAGCAGUAAAUGUGGAGCCGUAGCGAAAGCGAGUCUGAAUAGGGCGUUUAGUAUUUGGUCGUAGACCCGAAACCAGGUGAUCUACCCUUGGUCAGGUUGAAGUUCAGGUAACACUGAAUGGAGGACCGAACCGACUUACGUUGAAAAGUGAGCGGAUGAACUGAGGGUAGCGGAGAAAUUCCAAUCGAACCUGGAGAUAGCUGGUUCUCUCCGAAAUAGCUUUAGGGCUAGCCUCAAGUGAUGAUUAUUGGAGGUAGAGCACUGUUUGGACGAGGGGCCCCUCUCGGGUUACCGAAUUCAGACAAACUCCGAAUGCCAAUUAAUUUAACUUGGGAGUCAGAACAUGGGUGAUAAGGUCCGUGUUCGAAAGGGAAACAGCCCAGACCACCAGCUAAGGUCCCAAAAUAUAUGUUAAGUGGAAAAGGAUGUGGCGUUGCCCAGACAACUAGGAUGUUGGCUUAGAAGCAGCCAUCAUUUAAAGAGUGCGUAAUAGCUCACUAGUCGAGUGACACUGCGCCGAAAAUGUACCGGGGCUAAACAUAUUACCGAAGCUGUGGAUUGUCCUUUGGACAAUGGUAGGAGAGCGUUCUAAGGGCGUUGAAGCAUGAUCGUAAGGACAUGUGGAGCGCUUAGAAGUGAGAAUGCCGGUGUGAGUAGCGAAAGACGGGUGAGAAUCCCGUCCACCGAUUGACUAAGGUUUCCAGAGGAAGGCUCGUCCGCUCUGGGUUAGUCGGGUCCUAAGCUGAGGCCGACAGGCGUAGGCGAUGGAUAACAGGUUGAUAUUCCUGUACCACCUAUAAUCGUUUUAAUCGAUGGGGGGACGCAGUAGGAUAGGCGAAGCGUGCGAUUGGAUUGCACGUCUAAGCAGUAAGGCUGAGUAUUAGGCAAAUCCGGUACUCAUUAAGGCUGAGCUGUGAUGGGGAGAAGACAUUGUGUCUUCGAGUCGUUGAUUUCACACUGCCGAGAAAAGCCUCUAGAUAGAAAAUAGGUGCCCGUACCGCAAACCGACACAGGUAGUCAAGAUGAGAAUUCUAAGGUGAGCGAGCGAACUCUCGUUAAGGAACUCGGCAAAAUGACCCCGUAACUUCGGGAGAAGGGGUGCUCUUUAGGGUUAACGCCCAGAAGAGCCGCAGUGAAUAGGCCCAAGCGACUGUUUAUCAAAAACACAGGUCUCUGCUAAACCGUAAGGUGAUGUAUAGGGGCUGACGCCUGCCCGGUGCUGGAAGGUUAAGAGGAGUGGUUAGCUUCUGCGAAGCUACGAAUCGAAGCCCCAGUAAACGGCGGCCGUAACUAUAACGGUCCUAAGGUAGCGAAAUUCCUUGUCGGGUAAGUUCCGACCCGCACGAAAGGCGUAACGAUUUGGGCACUGUCUCAACGAGAGACUCGGUGAAAUCAUAGUACCUGUGAAGAUGCAGGUUACCCGCGACAGGACGGAAAGACCCCGUGGAGCUUUACUGUAGCCUGAUAUUGAAAUUCGGCACAGCUUGUACAGGAUAGGUAGGAGCCUUUGAAACGUGAGCGCUAGCUUACGUGGAGGCGCUGGUGGGAUACUACCCUAGCUGUGUUGGCUUUCUAACCCGCACCACUUAUCGUGGUGGGAGACAGUGUCAGGCGGGCAGUUUGACUGGGGCGGUCGCCUCCUAAAAGGUAACGGAGGCGCUCAAAGGUUCCCUCAGAAUGGUUGGAAAUCAUUCAUAGAGUGUAAAGGCAUAAGGGAGCUUGACUGCGAGACCUACAAGUCGAGCAGGGUCGAAAGACGGACUUAGUGAUCCGGUGGUUCCGCAUGGAAGGGCCAUCGCUCAACGGAUAAAAGCUACCCCGGGGAUAACAGGCUUAUCUCCCCCAAGAGUUCACAUCGACGGGGAGGUUUGGCACCUCGAUGUCGGCUCAUCGCAUCCUGGGGCUGUAGUCGGUCCCAAGGGUUGGGCUGUUCGCCCAUUAAAGCGGUACGCGAGCUGGGUUCAGAACGUCGUGAGACAGUUCGGUCCCUAUCCGUCGUGGGCGUAGGAAAUUUGAGAGGAGCUGUCCUUAGUACGAGAGGACCGGGAUGGACAUACCUCUGGUGUACCAGUUGUCGUGCCAACGGCAUAGCUGGGUAGCUAUGUGUGGACGGGAUAAGUGCUGAAAGCAUCUAAGCAUGAAGCCCCCCUCAAGAUGAGAUUUCCCAACUUCGGUUAUAAGAUCCCUCAAAGAUGAUGAGGUUAAUAGGUUCGAGGUGGAAGCAUGGUGACAUGUGGAGCUGACGAAUACUAA